GACGAACGCUGGCGGCGUGCUUAACACAUGCAAGUCGAACGGAAAGGCCCUGCUUUUGUGGGGUGCUCGAGUGGCGAACGGGUGAGUAACACGUGAGUAACCUGCCCUUGACUUUGGGAUAACUUCAGGAAACUGGGGCUAAUACCGGAUAGGAGCUCCUGCUGCAUGGUGGGGGUUUGAAAGUUUCGGCGGUUGGUGAUGGACUCGCGGCUUAUCAGCUUGUUGGUGGGGUAGUGGCUUACCAAGGCUUUGACGGGUAGCCGGCCUGAGAGGGUGACCGGCCACAUUGGGACUGAGAUACGGCCCAGACUCCUACGGGAGGCAGCAGUGGGGAAUAUUGCACAAUGGGCGGAAGCCUGAUGCAGCAACGCCGCGUGCGGGAUGACGGCCUUCGGGUUGUAAACCGCUUUCGCCUGUGACGAAGCGUGAGUGACGGUAAUGGGUAAAGAAGCACCGGCUAACUACGUG
Molecule: ribosomal RNA, 468 nt
Filed under: uncultured bacterium
Lineage: Bacteria
Description: partial 16S ribosomal RNA
Rfam family: Bacterial small subunit ribosomal RNA
Source: RNAcentral